AUUUUCUGACAUUUGAAAAGAUCUGAAGAUACGCCCCUUGGAUGCCUGCAGAGAAGCUCUGGGGCUUCAGUCAAUGACUCAGGGUAGCCACCGAACAUGAUGCUCGGGCAGUGGGUGCCACCUGGACUCCACUCUCCCCUCUCUCUGGGAUCAUAGAGUCCAAGGUGUUCUGUGGCCUCUCGGCCAAUCCCAGCAGCUCAGCGUGCAGAAGACCGAGGAGCCAUUGGAAUUCAACACAACACGAAAUAAUCAACAAAUUCGGGGAAUGUUAAUCUGACCAUCACCAGUUACAAAUGAUGUUUCAUGCUACCUUCUAUUCCUGCCUUCAUAAAUCAAGGAAAAGAAAAAGAGAACAUAUAUCCCCCUACCUUUUGAUUUCCAACAGUCUACUGAGAGGCCAAGAUUAUUUGCAGGGAAAGAAAAGGGGUCAAAAUGUUUUGCCAGUAACUCCCAAAUCAUCUACAGCCAAGGAGAAAAGUGUUUCAAGACAGAGGUGCUCAAUGGUAUCAAAUACUGCCAACAGACCAAGUAAUACAUGCAUUGAAGUGUCUACUGGAUCUAGCUAUAUGAAUUUUUAAUUUAGGACACUUAGGCCAUACUGAAGCAAGGUGACAAAAUGAAUAGCUACAAUGUCUCGUGAAUCUUGGGUUUCCAUUCACCCUGGUAUUCAAGAGAAAUUCUUGCAUCAUGGAAGUUGCAGUUGGAUAGGACUUUCUCAGCUGAACACUGUCAUCUGCCAGAGCUUCAGGCAAGAACCCAGAACAGAUGAAACCCCAGACAUGACAAAAUAAGCCAAAGAAUACCAGGCCAAGGUGUGAAAGGCCAGAUGAGAACAAGCAGCGUACACGAUUCUGUUGCCAACAGAUCUCCCCUAACAGUGUCGUGCACCAAAUUUCCACAGUGAAUGUCAGGAAAAAAUGGCAAUUGAGGUGGGUGGUCAAAAGAGAAGCACAGUCUAUGAUGAAGUCACCCCAGAGAAGUCCUUUUUCCGUUUUCUCCUGAGAAAUUACCAGAAGAAAUUAAAAUCCUUUUGAGUAUUGCAAAAAAAAAAAAAAAA
This 1057-nucleotide long non-coding RNA is filed under the name Homo sapiens (human). RNAcentral describes it as "long independently transcribed non-coding RNA 710, transcript variant 2 (LINC00710)". The record is from RNAcentral. Lineage: Eukaryota; Metazoa; Chordata; Mammalia; Primates; Hominidae.